Molecule: ribosomal RNA, 486 nt
Filed under: uncultured bacterium
Lineage: Bacteria
Description: partial 16S ribosomal RNA
Rfam family: Bacterial small subunit ribosomal RNA
Source: RNAcentral
AUUGAACGCUGGCGGCAUGCCUUACACAUGCAAGUCGAACGGCAGCACGGGUGCUUGCACCUGCUGGCGAGUGGCGCACGGGUGAGUAAUACAUCGGAACAUGUCCCGUAUUGGGGGAUAGCCCCGCGAAAGCCGGAUUAAUACCGCAUACGAUCUACUGGUGCCAGCGGGGGACCUUCUGGCCUCGCGCUUUGGGGUUGGCCCAUGACUGAUUAGCUAGUUGGUGGGGUAAUGGCCUACCAAGGCGACGAUCAGUAGCCGGUCUGAGAGGGCGACCAGCCACACUGGAACUGAGACACGGCCCAGACUCCUACGGGAGGCAGCAGUGGGGAAUUUUGGGCAAUGGGCGAAAGCCUGAUGCAGCAAUGCCGCGUGUGUGAAGAAGGCCUUCGGGUUGUAAAGCACUUUUGUCCGGAAAGAAAUCCUUGGUCAUAAUACGGGCGGGGGAUGACGGUACCGGAAGAAUAAGCACCGGCUAACUACGUG